RNAcentral lists this ribosomal RNA (505 nucleotides) under uncultured bacterium. Its description in RNAcentral is "partial 16S ribosomal RNA". It matches the Rfam family "Bacterial small subunit ribosomal RNA", at positions 28 to 507 of the family's 1533-position model. The record is from RNAcentral.
GACGAACGCUGGCGGCGUGCCUAAUACAUGCAAGUAGAACGCACAGUUUAUACUGUAGCUUGCUACACCAUAGACUGUGAGUUGCGAACGGGUGAGUAACGCGUAGGUAACCUGCCUGGUAGCGGGGGAUAACUAUUGGAAACGAUAGCUAAUACCGCAUAAUAUUGAUUAUUGCAUGAUAAUUAAUUGAAAGGUGCAAUUGCACCACUACCAGAUGGACCUGCGUUGUAUUAGCUAGUAGGUGAGGUAACGGCUCACCUAGGCGACGAUACAUAGCCGACCUGAGAGGGUGAUCGGCCACACUGGGACUGAGACACGGCCCAGACUCCUACGGGAGGCAGCAGUAGGGAAUCUUCGGCAAUGGACGAAAGUCUGACCGAGCAACGCCGCGUGAGUGAAGAAGGUUUUCGGAUCGUAAAGCUCUGUUGUAAGAGAAGAACGGGUGUGAGAGUGGAAAGUUCACACUGUGACGGUAUCUUACCAGAAAGGGACGGCUAACUACGUG